Molecule: long non-coding RNA, 780 nt
Filed under: Marmota monax (woodchuck)
Lineage: Eukaryota; Metazoa; Chordata; Mammalia; Rodentia; Sciuridae
Source: RNAcentral
GGAUCAAACCCAGCACCUUGCACAUGCUAGGUGAGUGCUCUACUACUGAGCCACAACUCCAGCCCCUAUACUUUUUGUUUUUAAAAUGCUAAUUUUGAAAGCAUGAUACAGUGAAAAUCAGGGUAAAAUAAUGUUUUUUUUUUUUUUUUGCUGCUUUUUUUGUGAGAGAUAGAAAAAGAACAAAUUUUCUAAUACCUCUUAGGAGGGCAUAUGUGUAUUUGCUAUUAUGACAGAAUUCACUCAAACAUACAUGUUUAUUUGCAUUACUCUAAACUGCAUUUUUAUUAAAGUUUUUAUGUAUGUUACCUCUGGCCUCAAAGGUAUACCCAAGUAAAAUGUGACAGACCCUUUUGCAGUUCACUAAGACAAAAGUCAGGAUGCAAAUAAAAUCUAAAAUUUUAAAUAUGCACUGUUUUCUGUGAGAAUCCCAAAGACCAUGCCCAUUGUAGCUCUUUAAAAGUUUUAGAAUGUUUGAUGUUACAGUACUUGAGAAUUUUCUCGUUUAUGGUCUGUGAGAAUUAUUUACUUCUAAAUAUUUGUGACUUUGUGUCUUUUGCUUUGGAAUAUUUCUGUGCAGAGGAGUAAAUAAUGAUAAUUUUAGUAUUUAGUGAUAAGUAUUUAGUUCAAUAUGGAACCAGGAAUAAUAAUUUCUAAAAACCAGUUAUACUUUGGCAGUGUUCAUAUUUGCUUCUGAAUCCAUAGAUGAGUAGAAGACAUGCCUGAGUGAUAAAUCCAAUCUUCACACAGACUACUGAUAAUGACAGUAAUAGAUAGGUUAGC